GUGUAAAAGAUGACAACAAAGUCGUCAGUCUUUGAGCAUGCUCAAGUUCAGGCUGGACUGAACGACAUCAGUUGCUGCUCUCCUCUUGUCCGUCCUAAAAUGUCUGCCAAUCAGUCGGCCGAGCGAUUCACUCCACCAGUUUACCCUCACAAUAACAAUGACCAACAAAACACUAAUUGCAGAAAACACACACACACACACACACUCCAAUCAAGACACAGUGGUCUCCACUUAAUGAAAACAAGCGCAUCAAAUUCUGCCUAUUUUCAGAGCACACUGUCUGCAUGAUGCCCCUCAGCAAAAGGAGACAAAAGAGCCAGUGUAUGUGAAAACUACUUGUCGCCUUUCUUCAUGUCAAUCUCUAUUAGUGUUGGAGCGCCGCUUGAGUGGAACUUUGUGAAUGGGGCCCAUUCUUUUCAUUCCUCCGCUUCCAGGGGCAACAGAGGGAGGAAUUCCUCCACUCUCCCUCUCAGGGUUACGGCGGUCAUGUAUCCUUUAGGUGGUCGCCCCCAUGUCUGACUUCACUUGUUGACAUCUUAAUAUAACUCAGACAGAAUGUAACAGUCAUCCGCUGCAGUGUCGCAUCACAUAUAAUGACAUCAUGUCUGAUGCCUUGAAAAAGAGAAGGGGGGGAAAAGACUGAGCUUCAAAAGCAGCCCUCCUCAUUAAUUUUUUUCUUUCCUUUCCCCACAGAUUUGCUUGUUAUACCACCAAGGGAGGAGAGCGUUAAAGAUAAAAGUGGAGGUACAGGCCAAGAUGCUGCAAGUGCAAAAUAAAGGGACACAAGAUAAUCUGAGACAUUUAUUAAGUUGGAUCUGCAAUGGUGUACCGCUUUCAUGCUACAAAUUAAAUUACCGUGUUGUUGUAGUUACUGUCUUGAAAAAAAAUCACUGUGACAGUCAGCCCGCCCGACUGAGACUUGCGUGUGAAUAGGACUACUGUGUCGCCAGAACACCAUUCUUAUUUUUGUCCUAGCCAGGCUGUCUGGCGGCAGGGCAGGUCAUGUUGGCUACUAGGCCAAAAAGCUGAAUGAUGGAUGAAGGAUGAUGGAGAGAAGUACACUUUCACCAGCUGUAAGUGUUGUCAUUGUUUUGAGUUUGUCACAGUCAAAGAUGCAAAGAACAUUGACGUCCGUUGCAAACUUUGUGCAAGCAGGAAAAUGCUUUCAACAACGAAAAAUACAACCUGCUGGUUAAAUUGCUGGAGCAUCUGAUAUGGCAGCACAGCAAAGUGAAACUGGACACUGGUGCUUACAAUGAGGCAAAUACUGCCAGUGAAGCAGAAUGGACGACUUAACAACAAAAACUGGAUUUCAGAGCAGUUGACAAUAUCUAAAGAAGCUGGUUGCAGGUAAGUUGUAUCACCCAAGAGAUUUUACCUAUGUAGAAAUAACUAGUUACUUUUGAUACCAAGUAAUAAGCAAAUUUUAUUAGUUUUUAGCAGAAUAUGUAAAAAGUAACUUACUAAAAUGUACCCUAAAGCUGAAAACCUGUACACUGAGACAUUUUGUACAUAGCACACGCUGUAUACAAUUAACAUGUGGAAUGGAGUAACAGGAACAAAACGCCGCUCUCUCUCACUUAUUCAACCACCUGUGCAGAUGUACCGUACAAAGUUCCAUACUUCACACUGAAAAAGUGACAAAAUAUUGGCUGGAAGUUGUCUCACAAUGCAAUACACAAUGGAUAAUGAUCGCCGGCCUUCUUCCGUGCAGCUGUCGACCGACAGGUGUGCGAAGGCUGCAAAUGCUCUGUGAAUCCUAUAGAAAUCUGACAAUUGCAGUUGAACACUGAGCUGGAAAAUUGUUAUGUAAUCCUGGAUGACAUUUGAGAAUAAUGGAUGCAUAGACAGAAAGUGGAAAUCAAUGGCAGGCAGAGGUAGACGCGGGGAGAUAGAGUAAAUGAAGAUGAGGAUGUGAACUGCACUGUCACCUGGAGCAGAAUGAAUAAUUAUCGAGAAAUGACGGAUAGAGGACAGAGAAUACACAGAGCCGGAGUGUAACUAUUCACAGCAUCUUCUACAGAACUACUUAGUGCACCUUUAAGUUGUGUAAUGCUGCUGGACUGCAGAUUUCUUUGAGAGGGA
Molecule: long non-coding RNA, 2085 nt
Organism: Acanthopagrus latus (yellowfin seabream)
Lineage: Eukaryota; Metazoa; Chordata; Actinopteri; Spariformes; Sparidae
Exons: 5
Source: RefSeq, a predicted model, not a curated record